GACAGAGGGUGCUAGCGUUGUUCGGAAUGACUGGGCGUAAAGGGCGCGUAGGCGGCUUAUUUAGUCAGGCGUGAAAGCCCCGGGCUUAACCUGGGAACUGCGCUUGAUACUGGUAGGCUAGAGUUCGGAAGAGGAAGGUGGAAUCCCUAGUGUAGAGGUGAAAUUCGUAGAUAUUAGGAGGAACAUCUGAGGCGAAGGCGGCCUUCUGGUCCGCAACUGACGCUGAGGCGCGAAAGCGUGGGGAGCAAACAGGAUUAGAUACCCUGGUAGUCCACGCUGUAAACGAUGAGUGCUAGACGUUGGGGGGGUAACCCUUCGGUGUCGCAGCUAACGCAUUAAGCACUCCGCCUGGGGAGUACGGUCGCAAGAUUAAA
Molecule: ribosomal RNA, 374 nt
Filed under: uncultured bacterium
Lineage: Bacteria
Description: bacterial SSU rRNA
Rfam family: Bacterial small subunit ribosomal RNA
Source: RNAcentral